RNAcentral lists this long non-coding RNA (924 nucleotides) under Homo sapiens (human). RNAcentral's name for it is "HSALNT0154816". Lineage: Eukaryota; Metazoa; Chordata; Mammalia; Primates; Hominidae. The record is from RNAcentral.
GGACACUCAACAUAGGAAAGUAUUUGGAGACAGUCACAGUUACACACUCAACAUCUGCUGGCACCUACCCAAGCCCAGAGCUCCCAGAGCCCCGCGGGCCCCCGAGGCACUCCCAGUCAAGCAUGGGAGACAGGCCAGCACACAGGUGAUCCGUGGUCGUGAUAAAUGGUCACAAGGGGCCGUGGGCACCCAGAAAAUGAGCUCCUACUCGGCCUUGGAGAGCCUGAGAGUGAGGCCUUUGAAUGAUGCCCUGGACAGAGCUUGGAACAUGAAGGUGAAUACUGUUGUGGGGAGAAUGCAUCCCUUUGCCUGGCUCUGAGCCAGGGCCAGCUUUGGAUCCUGCUAGCCCCAUGGAUAUAGAGGUGACAGUACGAAGACUCACAGUAGUGGGGAAGUCCUGUCCUCAAGUCCAUGCAGCUCAGGAGUGGGAGAACUUGGAUCUGAGUGAGCCCUGAUUGUCGCCUUGAGGACCACUGUAUUUUCAGAGCCUUGCCUUGCUUCUCAGAGGUGAGAGCCACCUCCAUUUCAACACGGCCAUUGCUGGAGCUGAGGCAGCCUCCUAGCGCCCCAAGCAGGACAGAUGCUCUUUGGCUCCUUUGGGUUGGUUCUCAGAACGUCGCUCCAUGUAAGGAAUGGAAUGGGAUUACCUGCUCGUCUCCUGUCAAGCUUGGGGUAGCACUGCCUCUCUCAGGAUGGCUUCCUUCUUGAGAGGUUGAAGAACCCUUCCCAAGACUGGGCCAUCUUGCUCUGAGCACAGAGAAAUCACACAGGCUAAAAGUUAGAUACCUGGGAGUGGCAGAAAGAGCACAGACUUCAAAACCAGAAAGAUUCACCUUCGAGUCUUGGCUCUGCCACUUACCAGCAGUCUGACCUUGAAUGAACCUCAGCUUCCCCAUUGUAAAUGGGGGCUCAAGAAUACCUCCC